UGCGGAAGGAUCAUUACCUAGAGUUUGUGGACUUCGGUCUGCUACCUCUUACCCAUGUCUUUUGAGUACCUUCGUUUCCUCGGCGGGUCCGCCCGCCGAUUGGACAACAUUCAAACCCUUUGCAGUUGCAAUCAGCGUCUGAAAAAACAUAAUAGUUACAACUUUCAACAACGGAUCUCUUGGUUCUGGCAUCGAUGAAGAACGCAGCGAAAUGCGAUAAGUAGUGUGAAUUGCAGAAUUCAGUGAAUCAUCGAAUCUUUGAACGCACAUUGCGCCCCUUGGUAUUCCAUGGGGCAUGCCUGUUCGAGCGUCAUUUGUACCUUCAAGCUCUGCUUGGUGUUGGGUGUUUUGUCUCGCCUCCGCGUGUAGACUCGCCUUAAAACAAUUGGCAGCCGGCGUAUUGAUUUCGGAGCGCAGUACAUCUCGCGCUUUGCACUCAUAACGACGACGUCCAAAAGUACAUUUUUACACUCUUGACCUCGGAUCAGGUAGGGAUACCCGCUGAACUUAAGCAUAUCAA
Molecule: ribosomal RNA, 520 nt
Filed under: Epicoccum sp. Sigrf26
Lineage: Eukaryota; Fungi; Ascomycota; Dothideomycetes; Pleosporales; Didymellaceae
Description: eukaryotic LSU rRNA
Rfam family: 5.8S ribosomal RNA (bases 160-313)
Source: RNAcentral